This 637-nucleotide ribosomal RNA is filed under the name Meloidogyne graminis. Its description in RNAcentral is "SSU rRNA". It matches the Rfam family "Eukaryotic small subunit ribosomal RNA", at positions 1003 to 1664 of the family's 1831-position model. Lineage: Eukaryota; Metazoa; Nematoda; Chromadorea; Rhabditida; Meloidogynidae. The record is from RNAcentral.
GGCGAUCAGAUACCGCCCUAGUUCUGACCGUAAACGAUGCCAACUAGCGAUCCGCCGAUGGAGAUUAUAUUGCCUUGGUGGGGAGCUUCCCGGAAACGAAAGUCUUCCGGUUCCGGGGGAAGUAUGGUUGCAAAGCUGAAACUUAAAGGAAUUGACGGAAGGGCACCACCAGGAGUGGAGCCUGCGGCUUAAUUUGACUCAACACGGGGAAACUCACCCGGCCCGGACACUGUGAGGAUUGACAGAUUGAUAGCUUUUUCAUGAUUCAGUGGAUGGUGGUGCAUGGCCGUUCUUAGUUCGUGGAGUGAUUUGUCUGGUUUAUUCCGAUAACGAGCGAGACUCUAACCUACUAAAUAGCUGAUACAUAUUUUUUGUGUAUUCGGCUUCUUAGAGGGAUUUGCGGUGUUCAGCCGAAAGAAAUUGAGCAAUAACAGGUCUGUGAUGCCCUUAGAUGUCCGGGGCUGCACGCGCGCUACACUGGCAAAAUCAACGUGCUUGUCCUGCCCCGAAAGGGGUGGGUAAACCAUUGAAAAUUUGCCGUGAUUGGGAUCGGAAAUUGCAAUUAUUUUCCGUGAACGAGGAAUUCCAAGUAAGUGCGAGUCAUCAGCUCGCGUUGAUUACGUCCCUGCCCUUUGUA